This 500-nucleotide ribosomal RNA is filed under the name uncultured bacterium. Its description in RNAcentral is "bacterial SSU rRNA". It matches the Rfam family "Bacterial small subunit ribosomal RNA", at positions 26 to 518 of the family's 1533-position model. The record is from RNAcentral.
AGGAUGAACGCUAGCUACAGGCUUAACACAUGCAAGUCGAGGGGCAGCAUUGGAGUAGCAAUACUUCAGAUGGCGACCGGCGCACGGGUGAGUAACACGUAUCCAACCUGCCGCUUACUCGGGGAUAGCCUUUCGAAAGAAAGAUUAAUACCCGAUGGUAUAAAGAGUUCGCAUGUUCUCUUUAUUAAAGAAUUUCGGUAAGCGAUGGGGAUGCGUUCCAUUAGAUAGUUGGCGGGGUAACGGCCCACCAAGUCUACGAUGGAUAGGGGUUCUGAGAGGAAGGUCCCCCACAUUGGAACUGAGACACGGUCCAAACUCCUACGGGAGGCAGCAGUGAGGAAUAUUGGUCAAUGGACGAGAGUCUGAACCAGCCAAGUAGCGUGAAGGAUGACUGCCCUAUGGGUUGUAAACUUCUUUUAUAAGGGAAUAAAGUGAGGGACGUGUCCCUUUUUGUAUGUACCUUAUGAAUAAGGAUCGGCUAACUCCGUGCCAGCAGCAGC